Molecule: non-coding RNA, 74 nt
Organism: Desmophyllum pertusum
Lineage: Eukaryota; Metazoa; Cnidaria; Anthozoa; Scleractinia; Caryophylliidae
Source: the annotation of a GenBank genome assembly
GGCCUCGUAGCUCAGUUGGUUAGAGCGACGGUCAUCUGAUCCAGAGGUCAUGGGCUCAUUUCCCACUGGGAUCA